GACGAACGCUGGCGGCGUGCUUAACACAUGCAAGUCGAACGGGUCUGCCCUGUUUUUUGCGGGGUGGGUCAGUGGCGAACGGGUGAGUAACACGUGAGUAACCUGCCCCUCACUUCUGGAUAACCGCUUGAAAGGGUGGCUAAUACGGGGUGUUCUGGCUGUGCCGCAUGGUGUGGCUGGGAAAGAUUCACUUUUGUGGUGUUUUGGUGGGGGAUGGGCUCGCGGCCUAUCAGCUUGUUGGUGGGGUGAUGGCCUGCCAAGGCUUUGACGGGUAGCCGGCCUGAGAGGGUGGGCGGUAACACUGGGACUGAGAUACGGCCCAGACUCCUGCGGGAGGCAGCAGUGGGGGGUAUUGCACAAUGGGCGGAAGCCUGAUGCAGCGACGUCGCGUGAGGGAUGGAGGCCUUCGGGUUGUGAACCUCUUUCGCCGGUGAAGAAGGUCCUGCUCUUUGUGGUGGGGUUGACGGUAGCCGGGUUAUGAAGCGCCGGCUAACUACGUG
This 500-nucleotide ribosomal RNA is filed under the name uncultured bacterium. Its description in RNAcentral is "partial 16S ribosomal RNA". It matches the Rfam family "Bacterial small subunit ribosomal RNA", at positions 28 to 507 of the family's 1533-position model. The record is from RNAcentral.